Molecule: long non-coding RNA, 369 nt
Filed under: Hordeum vulgare
Lineage: Eukaryota; Viridiplantae; Streptophyta; Magnoliopsida; Poales; Poaceae
Description: long non-coding RNA (HVUL_LNC006870)
Source: RNAcentral
GCUAAUGUGUUCACACUAUCUGAGUGGUUGUACUGAGGUAUCCUCACAAAAUAGUGAAGUUAUCAUGACAUGUCAAUGUGUAAAGAAAAUCAUUGAUUACGCAUCUAGAUCUUAGGUUCUAGCAUGGUCUAAUAUUUCUACCGGAGUAAUUCCGUAUUGCACAACCACCAUCACUGAACAAUUGACUUGCUAACCAUUCUAAUCACCUGAGUACAAGGCCAUGUUAUUUGACAGCUAUAUUUUCUAUUGCUGAGAAACCGGGAAGUAUAGGAGAUGAAUUUUUAUUCCACCCCACCCUUCAGAAUAUUUUUGUUGAGUAGCAUGCACAUCUCAAUCAUAUGCAUUCCCCCUUUGAUUCAUUUUUAAAAC